AUCUACGUCCAUACACCCCGAAAGCUCCUGAUCUUGUCUGAUCUUGGAAGCUAAGCAGGUUCGGGCGUGGACUUGGAUGGGAGACCGCCUGGGAAUCCCGGGUGCUGUAUGCU
This 113-nucleotide ribosomal RNA is filed under the name Myotis davidii. Lineage: Eukaryota; Metazoa; Chordata; Mammalia; Chiroptera; Vespertilionidae. The record is from RNAcentral.